GAUGCCCACGUCCGAGAGAUGGCGGCAGCUGCGGGGAUUAAGGCUCUUGAGGCGCUGCAGCCCCCAGGCGAUGAGCAGAAGGCCGGUGUUGGUGAUGUUGCUGCAGCCCCCCAGCUCCAGCACCUCCAGGCCCUUGAGGUACUGGGCUAUGCGGUCCAGGCUGCUGUCUGUGAUCUGCUUGCAGGGGCUCAAGUUGAGAGCGCGCAGCGAGCCGAUCUCCUGCACGAACGCGUGGCCCAGGCCUUAUCGGUGAGGUUGUAGCAGCCGCUGAGGUUGAGGCUCUCGAUGUUCGCCAUGCCCUGGAUCACGUAGCUGAGGCUGCGGCGGAGGCUGAGGAUCUGCACGCGGCGGAUGCCUCCACGCCCCGCCACACUGACUUGUGGGAGGCGGCGUCCCGCCAGGCCCUGCACACCUGCACCGCGCGACCCUUGUCUCGGACGUCCAAGUAGCCGAAGAUCAUGGCCAGCAGCUCCGGGAACAGGCACGAGAUGUGGGUCUCCAUCUUCCUCCCGCCGCUACGCCGCGCCGGGUGCAGGAGGCGCGGGCGCAGCCGCCCCAGGAGGCGCCGAGAGCGGGUCGCCGCGGGCCAACGGCCGCCCCUCUUCCCUUAGAUUUUUAAGAGCAUAACUUUUUGGUUGCUUUGUGGCUUCUGAAAAAAAAUGCUCUUGCUUUUGGAGUCAUUAAAUAGAUUUUCUUUUUG
RNAcentral lists this long non-coding RNA (700 nucleotides) under Rattus norvegicus (Norway rat). RNAcentral's name for it is "long non-coding RNA NONRATT008268". The record is from RNAcentral. Lineage: Eukaryota; Metazoa; Chordata; Mammalia; Rodentia; Muridae.